GAUGAACGCUGGCGGCGUGCCUAAUACAUGCAAGUCGAGCGAACGGACGAGAAGCUUGCUUCUCUGAUGUUAGCGGCGGACGGGUGAGUAACACGUGGAUAACCUACCUAUAAGACUGGGAUAACUUCGGGAAACCGGAGCUAAUACCGGAUAAUAUUUUGAACCGCAUGGUUCAAAAGUGAAAGACGGUCUUGCUGUCACUUAUAGAUGGAUCCGCGCUGCAUUAGCUAGUUGGUAAGGUAACGGCUUACCAAGGCAACGAUGCAUAGACGACCUGAGAGGGUGGUCGGCCACCCGGGAACUGGGACACGGUCCAGACUCCUACGGGAGGCAGCAGUAGGGAAUCUUCCGCAAUGGGCGAAAGCCUGACGCAGCAACGCCGCGUGAGUGAUGACGGUCUUCGGAUCGUAAAACUCUGUUAUUAGGGAAGAACAUCUGUGUAAGUAACUGUGCACAUCUUGACGGUACCUAAUCAGAAAGCCACGGCUAACUACGUG
Molecule: ribosomal RNA, 497 nt
Filed under: uncultured bacterium
Lineage: Bacteria
Description: partial 16S ribosomal RNA
Rfam family: Bacterial small subunit ribosomal RNA
Source: RNAcentral